CCUACGGGAGGCAGCAGUGGGGAAUAUUGGGCAAUGGGCGCAAGCCUGACCCAGCACCGCCGCGUGAAGGAAGAAGGCUUUCGGGUUGUAAACUUCUUUUCUCAGGGACGAAGCAAGUGACGGUACCUGAGGAAUAAGCCACGGCUAACUACGUGCCAGCAGCCGCGGUAAUACGUAGGUGGCAAGCGUUAUCCGGAUUUACUGGGUGUAAAGGGCGUGUAGGCGGGAAAGCAAGUCAGAUGUGAAAACCAUGGGCUCAACCUGUGGCCUGCAUUUGAAACUGUUUUUCUUGAGUACUGGGGAGGCAGACGGAAUUCCUAGUGUAGCGGUGAAAUGCGUAGAUAUUAGGAGGAACACCAGUGGCGAAGGCGGUCUGCUGGACAGCAACUGACGCUGAGGCGCGAAAGCGUGGGGAGCAAACAGGAUUAGAUACCCCUGUAGUC
This 443-nucleotide ribosomal RNA is filed under the name uncultured bacterium. Its description in RNAcentral is "partial 16S ribosomal RNA". It matches the Rfam family "Bacterial small subunit ribosomal RNA", at positions 338 to 795 of the family's 1533-position model. The record is from RNAcentral.